GGCUCAGGACGAACGCUGGCGGCGUGCCUAACACAUGCAAGUCGAACGAAGCACCUUACUUGAUUCUUCGGAUGAAGGUCUGGUGACUGAGUGGCGGACGGGUGAGUAACGCGUGGGUAACCUGCCCUGUACAGGGGGAUAACAGCUGGAAACGGCUGCUAAUACCGCAUAGGCGCACGAGGAGACAUCUCCUUGUGUGAAAAACUCCGGUGGUACAGGAUGGGCCCGCGUCUGAUUAGCUGGUUGGCAGGGUAACGGCCUACCAAGGCAACGAUCAGUAGCCGGUCUGAGAGGAUGAACGGCCACAUUGGAACUGAGACACGGUCCAAACUCCUACGGGAGGCAGCAGUAG
RNAcentral lists this ribosomal RNA (352 nucleotides) under uncultured Eubacterium sp. RNAcentral's name for it is "bacterial SSU rRNA". It matches the Rfam family "Bacterial small subunit ribosomal RNA", at positions 21 to 357 of the family's 1533-position model. The record is from RNAcentral. Lineage: Bacteria; Bacillati; Bacillota; Clostridia; Eubacteriales; Eubacteriaceae.